This 271-nucleotide long non-coding RNA is filed under the name Neogale vison (American mink). RNAcentral describes it as "Neovison vison (American mink) lncRNA (ENSNVIG00000007898.1)". Lineage: Eukaryota; Metazoa; Chordata; Mammalia; Carnivora; Mustelidae. The record is from RNAcentral.
GAAGGAAUCCGUCUUGAUCACACUGGGAUCCAACAGCGUUUUGCUGAAGUUUGAGUCUCCCGCUGAUCUCAGCUCAUUUUCAAAUACCCUGAAAAGAUGCCGGAAGGAGAAAAAGGAAUCCUCGGUGUUCAGCCAGCGGACAGAAGAGGCAUCUGCCGUACAGUACUUCCAGUUUUAUGGCUGCAUUUCCCAGCAACAGAACAUGAUGCAGGAUUUUGUGAGGACAGCCACUUACCACAGAGCCAUCCUCCAGAACCACACUGACUUCAGA